RNAcentral lists this ribosomal RNA (440 nucleotides) under uncultured bacterium. RNAcentral's name for it is "SSU rRNA". It matches the Rfam family "Bacterial small subunit ribosomal RNA", at positions 26 to 518 of the family's 1533-position model. The record is from RNAcentral.
AGAACGAACGCUGGCGGCAGGCCUAACACAUGCAAGUCGAGCGCCCAGCAAUGGGAGCGGCGGACGGGUGCGUAACGCGUGGGAAUAUGCCUUUCGGUACGGAACAACUCAGGGAAACUUGAGCCAAUACCGUAUACGCCCUUAGGGGGAAAGAUUUAUCGCCGAAAGAUUAGCCCGCGUAGGAUUAGCUUGUUGGUGAGGUAAUGGCUCACCAAGGCGACGAUCCUUAGCUGGUUUGAGAGAACGACCAGCCACACUGGGACUGAGACACGGCCCAGACUCCUACGGGAGGCAGCAGUGGGGAAUCUUGGACAAUGGGGAAACCCUGAUCCAGCCAUGCCGCGUGAGUGAUGAAGGCCUUCGGGUUGUAAAACUCUUUCGACGGGGACGAUAAUGACGGUACCGUAGAAGAGCUCGGCUAACUUCGCGCCAGCAGCCGC